This 743-nucleotide long non-coding RNA is filed under the name Phaseolus vulgaris (common bean). RNAcentral describes it as "long non-coding RNA (PVUL_LNC004744)". Lineage: Eukaryota; Viridiplantae; Streptophyta; Magnoliopsida; Fabales; Fabaceae. The record is from RNAcentral.
UAAGUUCAUGCAUGACAUAGAACAUAGAUUUUGUUUAGGAGAAUAAUGGCUUAUAUUUCUAAAGCUCUGUCUUAAAGCUGGCAAAAAUAAGCAAUUAUUCUUCCAAAAUAGGCUGAGCCAAACACGCACUAAGUCAGUUAGCUCAUCCACCACACGGACUUAGAAAGUUCACACCUGGUAUGUGGCAUGAAAGGUUGAUUGUAACCAGGGACAUAAGUCUGGGGGGAAGGGCAAAAUUGAAAAUGAAAAAUGAAGUGGACACUAUAAAUGAACAGGUGAUCAUGUAAUUAACAUUAAUCCUUUAUUGUAACUGAAGUUUAUUUUGAUUCGGCCCAAGAUGUUUAUACCGUAGACUCUAGAAUUAGGAUUGGAUGGAAAGGGAAAUAUGGGGGAUAGGUAUUGGAGACAAGGGUUUGUGUGGAAGAGUCCAUUUACAGAAUUCAGAUGUAAUCAGAAUUCUGAUCUGGUUUUGGAAAGAAACGACAAAUAUAUAUUCUGUUAUACUUUAGUGAACAUUGUUAUGGAUGCUUUCGAAGUACAAACUAAAAUCCUGUAGGACUCUAGAAUCAACCGGACUCUUAAGUUUUUUGGGUACUAAGUUAUUUACUUUUGACUGACUUUUAGACUGCCUAUAAUAACCUGAAUCCCUAAUUACAAAGUCAGACUUUCAUGGGCUUCAUUAGCUUGCCAGACAUACUAAACUAUAACUCUUUGCAGCACUACGUGGGAAAUUAGCAAUGAAC